Molecule: long non-coding RNA, 681 nt
Filed under: Homo sapiens (human)
Lineage: Eukaryota; Metazoa; Chordata; Mammalia; Primates; Hominidae
Description: non-protein coding lnc-XRN1-2:1
Source: RNAcentral
UUUAAAUUCUAACAUUGUUAGUUUGUAAUAAAAUGUAUUGUUUCUAAGGGAGAAACCUUUGAAGUUCCAGAAAUUGUGCCAUUUCGCCUGACUCAUAAUAUGGUUAAUGGAAUGGGUCCUAUGGGAACAGAGGGUCUUUUUCGAAGAGCAUGUGAAGUUACAAUGAGGCUGAUGCGUGAUCAGCGAGAGCCUUUAAUGAGUGUCUUAAAGACUUUUCUACAUGAUCCUCUUGUGGAAUGGAGUAAACCAGUGAAAGGGCAUUCCAAAGCGCCACUGAAUGAAACUGGAGAAGUUGUCAAUGAAAAGGUUAGUAGAAGGUAUAGCUUGAUAUGGGCUGUAGUCCUCAUCUCUACAAAUGAACUUGAUAUGCAGCUAUAGUUCUCAUCUCUAUGCAUGAGAACUGCUUGGAAAUACUGUUAGUGACUAUUGAUUACUCUGAAAUCUAGUUCUCUAGUAUCACAAUGCCAUAAGUUUUCUUUAUUGUCAGUAAUGUUAACAGUAUUCGCAUUUGUAUAAUAAAAGUUCAUGGCACACUUGUUUAACCAUAGACAAUUCACAGUUAUGAGAUACAGUAGGAAAAACUAUAGUACAAAUUGCCUGAACUUACAGAACAACAGGUCUGAGCUUUAAUAUCAUGAUACCAGUAUGUCACAAGCUAUGUUAACAAAUGCAGCAAUUCAC